GAGUGGAGGUAGCAUACGCUGAAGUUAGACCCAAGAAAAAACACUUAGGCAAGGUGGACCAGGAAGUAAUAUACACCAAUGUGGGAAACAUUAGAAGAAAAUCACCCGAGAUGUCACUUCCUGAAAGUGAUGGGGAAGUCAUGUACAGUUCAGUUGUUACCCCCAGGGAUCAAUAAAGUAUUCUGAUUCUGAUUAGAAGAAAAUCACCCGAGGGUGAGGCAAAAGACACAGAAGUUACAUGCAGCACAUUAGCCAAUCACUACUGAAAUCUUUAAAUAUUAGAACUUUUGGCCUUUCUGUCUCUUUAUAUCUACCUUUUACUGGUGUUUUUGCAGGAUACAGUGUUUUUUUUUUUUUUUUACUGUCAGCAGAUCAGUCACCUAGCCAUGCAGUAUGGCUACAGAUUUGCAUUCUCCAAAGAGCUCACUGAACUGGUCCAGUAAUGGUAUAGUAAUAGGAUGGGACUGUUGCAACAAGUCAG
Astatotilapia calliptera (eastern happy) is the source of this 481-nucleotide long non-coding RNA. NCBI's taxonomy places the organism in Eukaryota, Metazoa, Chordata, Actinopteri, Cichliformes, Cichlidae. The record is from Ensembl.